GACGAACGCUGGCGGCGUGCCUAAUACAUGCAAGUCGAGCGAAGUUUUUCUGGUGCUUGCACUAGAAAAACUUGGCGGCGAACGGGUGAGUAACACGUAAAGAACCUGCCUCAUAGACUGGGACAACUAUUGGAAACGAUAGCUAAUACCGGAUAACAGUAUUUCUCGCAUGAGAGAUAUUUAAAAGUUGGUUAUGCUAACACUAUGAGAUGGCUUUGCGGUGCAUUAGCUAGUUGGUGGGGUAAAGGCCCACCAAGGCGACGAUGCAUAGCCGACCUGAGAGGGUGAUCGGCCACACUGGGACUGAGACACGGCCCAGACUCCUACGGGAGGCAGCAGUAGGGAAUCUUCCGCAAUGGGCGAAAGCCUGACGGAGCAACGCCGCGUGAGUGAAGAAGGAUUUCGGUUCGUAAAGCUCUGUUGUUAGGGAAGAAUGGAUAUGUAGUAACUAUACAUGUAAGAGACGGUACCUAACCAGAAAGCCACGGCUAACUACGUG
RNAcentral lists this ribosomal RNA (499 nucleotides) under uncultured bacterium. RNAcentral's name for it is "partial 16S ribosomal RNA". It matches the Rfam family "Bacterial small subunit ribosomal RNA", at positions 28 to 507 of the family's 1533-position model. The record is from RNAcentral.